RNAcentral lists this ribosomal RNA (251 nucleotides) under uncultured bacterium. RNAcentral's name for it is "partial 16S ribosomal RNA". It matches the Rfam family "Bacterial small subunit ribosomal RNA", at positions 524 to 776 of the family's 1533-position model. The record is from RNAcentral.
UACGAAGGGGGCUAGCGUUGCUCGGAAUUACUGGGCGUAAAGCGCACGUAGGCGGAUUGUUAAGUCGGGGGUGAAAUCCUGGAGCUCAACUCCAGAACUGCCUCGAUACUGGCGAUCUCGAGUUCGGGAGAGGUGAGUGGAACUGCGAGUGUAGAGGUGAAAUCGUAGAUAUUCGGAAGAACACCAGUGGCGAAGGCGGCUCACUGGUCCGGUACUGACGCUGAGGUGCGAAAGCGUGGGGAGCAACAGGG